This 28-nucleotide non-coding RNA is filed under the name Rattus norvegicus (Norway rat). Lineage: Eukaryota; Metazoa; Chordata; Mammalia; Rodentia; Muridae. The record is from RNAcentral.
UCCUAUGUGCCUGAGCCCAUGUACACCA